ACGGGCAUAGUAUAAUGGUAGUACAAAGGUCUCCAAAACCUUCGGUGUGGGUUCAACUCCUACUGCCCGUG
RNAcentral lists this transfer RNA (71 nucleotides) under Streptococcaceae bacterium. RNAcentral describes it as "tRNA-Trp". It matches the Rfam family "tRNA". From Rfam's summary of the family: Transfer RNA (tRNA) molecules are approximately 80 nucleotides in length. Their secondary structure includes four short double-helical elements and three loops (D, anti-codon, and T loops). Further hydrogen bonds mediate the characteristic L-shaped molecular structure. tRNAs have two regions of fundamental functional importance: the anti-codon, which is responsible for specific mRNA codon recognition, and the 3' end, to which the tRNAs corresponding amino acid is attached (by aminoacyl-tRNA synthetases). tRNAs cope with the degeneracy of the genetic code in two manners: having more than one tRNA (with a specific anti-codon) for a particular amino acid; and 'wobble' base-pairing, i.e. permitting non-standard base-pairing at the 3rd anti-codon position. Lineage: Bacteria; Bacillati; Bacillota; Bacilli; Lactobacillales; Streptococcaceae. The record is from RNAcentral.